RNAcentral lists this ribosomal RNA (379 nucleotides) under uncultured bacterium. Its description in RNAcentral is "partial 16S ribosomal RNA". It matches the Rfam family "Bacterial small subunit ribosomal RNA", at positions 356 to 729 of the family's 1533-position model. The record is from RNAcentral.
UGGGAAUUUUGGACAAUGGGCGAAAGCCUGAUCCAGCAAUGCCGCGUGUGUGAAGAAGGCCUUCGGGUUGUAAAGCACUUUUGUCCGGAAAGAAAUCCUUGGCUCUAAUACAGUCGGGGGAUGACGGUACGGAAGAAUAAGCACCGGCUAACUACGUGCCAGCAGCCGCGUAAUACGUAGGGUGCAAGCGUUAAUCGGAAUUACUGGGCGUAAAGCGUGCGCAGGCGGUUUGCUAAGACCGAUGUGAAAUCCCGGGCUCAACCUGGGAACUGCAUUGGUGACUGGCAGGCUAGAGUAUGGCAGAGGGGGGUAGAAUUCCACGUGUGAGCAGUGAAAUGCGUAGAGAUGUGGAGGAAUACCGAUGGCGAAGGCAGCCCCC